Myiozetetes cayanensis is the source of this 19078-nucleotide RNA transcript. It is a transcript of the gene named neuronal tyrosine-phosphorylated phosphoinositide-3-kinase adaptor 2, with no coding region annotated. NCBI's taxonomy places the organism in Eukaryota, Metazoa, Chordata, Aves, Passeriformes, Tyrannidae. The record is from RefSeq and is a predicted model, not a curated record. The transcript is spliced from 7 exons.
AUUGUGUGCCUUGCACUGCUUUUCAGUGAGGGUGAGUGCAAAAGAUACAUCAAUAUGAGGUAUCAAACUGAGGCUUAGAUGUUCCUUUUAAGUGGCUGCUCAUUUCCUUGAGCCAUAACAUGGGCUAAAGGUUAACUUACACAGAUCUCCGUGGAAGAACAAUUUCUCUUUUUUUGGGGAAGGGAGAAGCAAGGGGAAAGGGCGUUGUUUCGUAGUCUUUCCCACCUAUAGACUCCAUGUGAUGUACAGUGCUGCUCGUGCAGAUUUUUUUUUUUGUUUUUGUUCCCCCCCACUGGAUUAUUUGCUAAUCAGACUUCAGUGCAGUGGAGAUAAGAGCGAGACUGUUGCCUAGCUCCGGAGCCAGGAGCACCGCGGCCGUCCCGCCUCUCCAUGGGCCCGGCGCGGCGGAGCUGUCCGAGGUGCUAGGAUGAUGCUGGCUGCGCGGGCGGGCAGGGCAGCCGGAUUGCAGCAGGAGAGGAGCCCCACAGUCCUGCUGGCACCCGAAGGUAUUAUGUGUUUUUCAACCUGCAGGAAACGUUGCUUUCCUUUGUUCAUUAUCUCCUGCAAGAUGAUGAGUUCUAAUCAGGAGGAGGUCACUUUGGGCGCUUUUCUCCAGUAUAUUGAAGAUAUGGGGAUGAAGGCCUAUGAUGGCUUGGUUAUACAGAAUGCAUCAGACAUUGCUCGAGAGAAUGAUCGCAUGAGGAAUGAAACAAACCUGGCUUACUUGAAAGAAAAGAGUGAAAAACGUCGAAAACAAGAAGAAGCAAUAAAACGCAUAGGUGGAGAAGUAGCAAGAGGAAAUGAAGGCAGCUACGUGGGGAAACAUUUCCGCAUGGGAUUUAUGACGAUGCCGGCUCCUCAGGACAGGCUGCCUCAUCCUUGCUCCAGUGGCUUUACCGUGAGAUCCCAGUCUCUUCAUUCUGUUGGAGGAACCGACGAUGAAAGCAGCAGCUCCCGUAAGCAGCCACCUCCGAAACCGAAGCGAGACCCCAACACCAAACUGAGCACCUCAUCUGAAACAGUCAACACAGGAACAACAAGCAAAAGUGGGAAACUACCGGACCGGACUGAAGUGUCAGCCAAACCAAGACCUCACAGUGAUGAAUACACAAAGAAGAUUCCACCUCCUAAGCCGAAACGAAACCCAAACACUCAGCUAAGCACAUCUUUUGAUGAAACGUAUAUCAAAAAGCAUGGCCCUAUGAAGACAACACUCACUAGGGAUGCCUCUUUGUCGCAGGUCAGCAGUCCUGCUCCAGACACAGAGGAAGAAGAGCCUGUUUAUAUUGAAAUGGUUGGGAAUAUUCUCAGAGACUUCAAAAAAGAUGAGGAUGACCAAAGCGAAGCCGUCUACGAGGAGAUGAAAUACCCUAUAUUUGAUGAUGUAGGCCAAGAUUCAAAAUGUCAAUGUGAAUAUGACCAUCACACUUGUUCUUCUCAGUGUGCUACUCCCACAGUGCCUGACCUAGAUUUCACCAAGUCUUCAGUGCCAUCUACUCCCAAGGGCUUGCUUUGUGAUAUACCCCCGCCAUUUCCAAAUCUGCUUUCUCACAGACCUCCACUGCUGGUGUUCCCACCAGCACCAGUGCAGUGUUCCCCAAAUUCUGACGAGUCUCCUCUAACUCCACUAGAGGUCACAAAGCUUCCCGUUUUAGAAAAUGUGUCUUACAUCAAACAACAACCUGGAGCUUCUCCAUCUUCACUGCCACCUCAUACACCAGGCCAUCAAAAACUGGAGAAAGACCAGACAGUAUCUCAUGGAACUAGCACCCCUGGGCACACCUCCUCACCUCCUCAUCCUUCUACCUUAUACAGAACACAGUCUCCACAUGGUUAUCCUAAAAGUCACUCUGCCUCACCUUCUCCUGUCAGUAUGGGUAGGUCUCUUACCCCCUUAAGCCUCAAAAGACCUCCACCUUAUGACUCUGUACAUUCAGGAAGUCUCUCAAGAAGCUCUCCAUCAGUGCCUCAUUCUACAGCCAGAAACACAUUGCAAGAAGGAGGAAAGAUGGUAAAUGCCUCUGUCAGUACCUACGGGUCAUCCUGUCAGAGUGGUUCCCGUUCUCGGACACCCACCAGUCCUCUGGAGGAACUAACCAGCCUCUUCACCUCAGGACGAAGCCUCCUGAGGAAGUCCUCCAGUGGCAGAAGAUCUAAGGAGCCUGCAGAAAAACCACUAGAUGAGCUGAAGAUCAGAAGUCACAGCACUGAACCACUACCAAAGCUGGAAAACAAAGAGAGAGGAUAUCAUGGGACAACUUCCUCUAGGGAGCCAGGGAAAGCUCAGGAAUGGGAUGGAACGCCGGGCCCGCCUGUGGUGUCCAGCAGGCUGGGGAGAUCCUCUGUCAGCCCAACCAUGUUGGCUGGAAGCAACAGCUCAGAGUCUAAAGCAAGCUGCAGAUUAGGUCGGUCUGCAUCCACGUCAGGUGUGCCUCCUCCCUCCGUGACACCGCUCAGGCAGCCCAGUGACCUUCAGCCGAGCCAGGUACCAUCGUUAGCCAAUCGUGAAUGACUCCAUGUGCUGCAACAUGCCAAGUGUUUCUCACCUCUGUGUCUGUCAUUUGUUACAGUAAAUGGUUUUUUUGGGUCUUUGUCUUUAUUUUCCGUGCGUACGUGUGCGUGCAUCUGUGUGUGCGCAUCUCCCAUUGGCAAUGAAAUUCCACUGGCCGCAGCCAGCAGAAUUUUCUUUGCUCUUAAUUCCUUGUAUCUUUUUCUGUCUUCAUUCUGUAAUAUAAAUGUAGUAAAACUGUACUGUAUGAACUGGCUGGGCUUUUUAUUUUUUCAUGUUUUCUGUACUUUUUUACUGUCUUAAAAUUUAUCAAACUUUGAUAAAUUUAAUCUAUGUUUUUAUGUAAAUUUCUUUUAAAUGUCUUGUCUAGAGCACUUACACCAAUGUUUGUCAAAGACUUGUACAUACUUGACUUCUGCUCAGUUAUACUUUAAUAUUUGUGCCAGUCUCACGUUUGGUUGGAGCUUAAUGCAUGAUUGUAUGACACUGUGAUUUAUCACUGUCCUGAAAACUGCUCUUACAGCAAGUGAUUUUUCUUUUAGUUAAGGCAGCUAGACUCUCUUCAGCUAUAGACCAUGUAAUGCUUACAAGGACUAUUAAAUAGUCCACUGUAGUUAUAUUUAUUGUAUAUUAGGAAUCAGAAAAACUAAUCAAAGGGACAACACCUCAUUUUAUCUUAAACAGAGAUACUUUUUUUUUUCCUCAUCAGAAACAAAACUGCCACAUAGAAGGAAAUGGAAGUGUUUGGGUUUGGCAAGUUUCUCCAGUAGAGAGAAAAUGGAAAAGAAAUAAAGACAUGGGAAACCUAUACUUACCUUUAUUUCAUAUGCUAAUACUGAUACCAUAACAUUUUGUUGCACAGACCUGUAUUAUUAGUUUGACAGAACUAAGUGAGAGUGGCAACUGAGAGAAGAGGUUUGGCUUGAACAUCAUGUGAAUGCCUUCUGUCGAAGCACUCUGGUUUCAUGUCACUCGUGUGUGCGGGCCCGCACAUCACUGCGUGCGUGGGGGGCUCUAUGUGUGCACAAGGACACACCAACAUAUAUGUGUUUAUGUGCCCAUGCAUAUAUGUAUGCACACACACCCAGGCACUCUUACUUAGAUGGUGAAUUUUCAGGGAAUUAGUCCCCAAAAUCCUGUUGAACAUCAGUGAGGUUUGAGUGGAGAAACUCCCUGAGGACUGCUUUGCAAUAAUCACAUGUUUGCAUUGUCUCUAGCUAGGCAAGUUGCUUCUGUAAGGUCUUGACCAAAGUAAAGACCAGAAGAGUAAGGCUGAUUUAUUGACUCCAGACAACCAGCUACUUGUUAGGAAGGUUAUAUUUGGCCAGCCUGGUCCAUACAGGUUACCAUUCUGUAACCUGUAUGAACUGAUGCUAUUGUGUUUCUUCUGAGCCCGGCUGGACACAGAGCCUGACAGAACCAUGCACAUUUCUAAAGCAUAUUUUACAUAAGCAAAUCACAUCCAUAAUGGAGAUUCAAAGUGACAGCCCAUUUAAAUAACACAUCAAGUGUUCCUUCAUCUAAGGAAGAAAUUAGGGUAAUUGCACUUCCAAAGGUUUUGAGGAUCCCAGUGUUCAUGUAGUAUAUAUUUUUGAUUAAAUGGGUCUUACAGCACAGAUGAUUCUUUGCUGUUUACUCAGUGGCAAAGGCACUUUGGGUGUUUUGAAGGGAUUUCAGUCUCUCCAUUUAUACUAAGAACUAAACAAUAAGCCUUUAAAGCAGAAGCUGAUGUGAUAGAAGAGAUAAUGAGGCUCUUAGAAGCUGCAGCCAGAGUUCACUGAAACUGUGGAGGGAAAAUCCACCUCAAUUCAUACAGAAGAAAGGAACAAAGAUGAUAAGAGGAAUUGUCAAGUGACUGUAGGAGGGUGAUCUUGUUAAUUGAAUAAUGUAUGGUAUGGUCAAGACUUCAUGAAAAGCAAGAAAAACUAGUGCAAGCUUUCUCUCCUUAAGUCUUCCCUUCAAGCUGACAAUAUCUUACAGUCCAUCUAUUAUGUUGCCCUUUGUUAUGAUAACAUAAUUUUUAAAGGUGUGGAUUUAACCUUGAUUCCAGUGGAGUGGCAGAAGUCUGAUCAUGUCCAUGGCAGAUAAAAACAUUACUUUGAUUGUGCUCUUUCAACACCUAUUCUAUCUUAAUGAGCAAAUAAUCUGUGGCGGGUGAAAUGUGUUUCAAACGGCUGGGUUUUUAGCCCAUCCUCAGUCUGACAGAUUGUGGCAUACAGGGUAUCUAUUUUCGUGUGCUGUGGCUAUUGAUUGUAUUGAUACUGGGUUGCUUAACCACAUUGUAACGAGCAGUUAGACUUUCCAAAAGAUCAAAAGGAUGCACUGUGUUAUCCACCUCUUUGUCGAUCAGAUGGGCACAGCUGACAUUCAUACAGGGAUACAAGAUCUGGGAAAGGGCAGAUGACUGUUAAUUGGUUUUCUCAAAUCUUCAUGGAUACCAAACUGAUGGUUUUCAGAAUGUUUAAUGUGGGGGAAAAAAGAUUUGCAACUGAGCUCUCAAAGCCCAUUGUUUUUAAAGCAGUAAUUUAAGGAUGUGGUGAGGAUGCUUAUUAACUAAAAAUAGGUUUGAUCUAAGGAAACCUAUAUUUUAUUCCAAUCAAAUACUGGCUAAAUAUGUAACUACUGACUUUUAAAUCCCCUAUGCCUUAUUUUCUUAUUUCUUGUUUGCUUAUUGGUGUAGGAAUUGUGAGGAGUAACCAUCAGUAUUCACAAAACUUAUUUAAGGUGUAUUGAUGGUAAGCAUUAGAGGGAUCACUUAUAAAUAAAAAGGGCUUAUGAUCAGAGAAGAAUUAUGUAGCUGGUCUCUGAUGGACAAUGCUUUAAACAUUCUGUAUGUAGUGUCAGAGAACAGUUACCAACAUGCUGAGCCAAAUAGAGAGCCUGCCAUUCUGUCCUUAGUUCUGGGAAAUGGGGAGAGCAUUUGGAAAGAACUGGUUGCAGGAAGAAGCCUUGGAUAAAAUAUUGAAUUGUCUCGAUUUAAACUGAAAGAUGAACAUAAGUUUAUCUUGGAAUUGAAUUUAUUGAUUAUGAAAGGACAAAGUUUAAGAAUUUAAGGAAAUAGCAGAGGAAGUCAGGUAGGAAGCUUGGAAGUGUAACAUGGGAGAAGCAUGAAACACUUUUGAGCUACAAAAGUAGCAUAUAGCUGUAUUUCCUAAAUGUACAUCUCAAUAUAAAUACCCUGAAGAGAGGAGUGUAAGCAGCAGAGAAGCAUUCUAGAAAUAACCUAUUGCCUUAUAAAAAAAGGAAAGAAGGAAGGAAAUCUAAAAGGUGCAGGAGCAGGUCAUCCUCAUGUGCCAAAUGUCAAACCAGCAAGGGAAGAUGACCUGCCUGUCUGAACAGAGUUUUAGCUGGAAUUCUGGCAAAUAGGAGAGUUUAUGAGGUUUGGAAGAAGGGACAGGCAACUCAGGAGGACAGGGGUGUCACGAGGUUAUGCAGGGGAAGAAUUAGAAGGACCAAGACCUGACUGAAAACCUAGUAUGUCUACUGCCACAAAAGGCAAUAAAAAAUUUUCCUGUAAAUGCAUUGGCAGUAAAAAAAAGGCUAAAGAAGAAUCUCCAUCCUUUAGUGGAUGGGGAAGGAAUCACAGUGAAAAAGGAUGGUGAAAAGGCUGAGGUACAUAAUGCUUUCUUUGCCUCAGUGUUCAAUAGUAAGACCAGCUGUUUUCUGGGUACCAGCCCCCUGAGCUGGAAGGCAGGGCCAGGGAGGAAAAUGAAGCCCCCAUAAUCCAAAGAAAAAUGGUCAGUGAACUGCCAUAUCACUUAGACACACAUAUUAGGAUAAAAUGCAUUUAUAUUAGGAAAAAUUUCUUCACAGAAAGGGUUGUCAAGCAAUGGAACAGGCUACCCAGAGAAGUAGUUGAGUCCAUCCUACUACCCCUGCAGGUAUUGAACAAUGUGCAGAUGUGGCAGGGGAUGUGGUUUAGUGGUGGACUUGACCAUGUUGUAUUAAUGGUUGGACUUCAUUAUCUUGAGGCAUUUUAUAACCUAAGUGAUUCUGUCAUUCUAUAAAGGUUCUCUGGUGUUCACAGAAAGCUUACGGGGAAUGGAAAAAUAUUCUAGAAAGUACAGCAAGUUGUAUCUUAGAGAUAAGAAAUGUCUGACUAACAUUAGAGAUAGUGAAAGUCCAUCUGUGUUUGGCCUUUAUAUGGAAAUGAAAACAGUCAUUUUUAGCCGAGUAACAGUUUUCUGUAGCCAUCUAAGUGGGUAGAGAACAGUAGAAUUUAACCACAUGUGAGGUUUAUAAAGCACGUGGUCCACAGAUACCCCAAUAAAUGAAUCCUCACCUUUAUUACUGGAGCCUCUGUGUUGGUGCCUGAGACUUCUGUACCAGGCAUGGUCAGGUGUUUGACCCUGCAGUGGUAAAUGCUCAGUCCUGUCAGGGCACCCCUAUAGUGAACAAAACAGUUCACCUGCGUAAAGCAAGCAGGAUUUGGAGUCACAGGCAUCACUGGGAUAGUUUUCUUGGCAUCCUGUCAUUCUUCACAUCAUCACCUCAGGGUAACAAAGGAUUGCAUCCUGUCGAUGGGCUCAGACAUCCCUGUUGCACACUGGAUUCGUGUGCACUCAGCAUGUCUGUCACAGAAGAAGAAAAUGUUUCAAGCAGAGCUGGGCUGUGGAGGUCCCUCUGCUGGAGAGCAGAGCAUCUCACAUCCAGAGUUCUAAUGUACAUAAAAUUAUCUCUAGGUCACUGCCAUGCUUCUCUAAAACAGUCUUUAGCACAGCAAAAAAAAAAAAACAACUUGUUUCCAUUUUAAGAAGAAAAAGAGGUGAUAUAAUUAUCUGGAUUUUUUUUUUCUGCAAAUGAAUUUGCAGAAAGUGAGGUUCAUUUUCAUUAAGAUGUAGACAGUGAUUGGAAAAUCCCUUGUACUAAGCUGCAUAGCAGCACAGUAGUGCAUGCUUAUAACAAAGAUCCAUGACCUGAAGGAAAACACAUGCUUUGAAAACAAAAUUGCUGAUAGCUGGAGUUUGGUAUUUAAGCUUGUCUGCAAAGCAGAUCCUAUUCCCAGACGGAUUUCUACAAAUCUGUCUACCUUAUCUGCAAAUGUGCAGCCUCUCUUCAUGCUGCCUGUGAGUUGUUUGCCUUUCAGUGGCCAGACAGCACUGUCCUUUCCUGAGGUAUGCUAUCUAAAUUCUGAGGGUGUGUAUACCUCUUAAGGUCUGGUGUCUUCUUGUGGGGAAAACUGGGCAGUGAUAUCUAGCUCCAAUUUAAGCAAGAAAAGAAGAUUUAAACUUCACAGUGAUGAUCAAAGUAAAAUCCAGAAGCCAUGCUGAGAUUAGAAGGAAUAACUCAGAAGAGGGGAUGAAGGUACAUGGACAGCUAUGAAUUAAGGAGUUUCAACGUGCAUUGAAGGAAUGAAGAAAAAGCUAAAAAAUAUAUCAGCAUCAACAUUGAAUUUUUUUAUGGCUUAUUUAAAAAAAAAAAAAAAGAAGUGCAGCUCAGUUCAUUACUUCUCUGGUAUCUGCCUGAGCUCUCAGAAAGCUGAGAUAGCACUUUUCUUUCCCCAUGUGACCUACCUACUUUUGAGUAGUCUAAAUCAGGGGUAUAAUACAACUUCCCCAUAGGUGGUAGGAAGAGAGGUGCCUGCAGAGGGAAUUACCUGGCUAAACCCUCAGUGAGCUGCUUGUCUGUUCCCUUAGACAACCUGGUAAUUCAGUUAAUUAACCUGGAAAGCUUGUUGGGAUCGUUCCUGCUCUGUGUGUGUUAGAGGCUUCUGGACAGAUAACAGUCACUGCAGUUUCCAUUGCAGGUUUGUAGGCAUUUAUAGGUUUUCACACUCCAUCCAUAGGCACUGGGAGAAAGAGUAUGAAUGUGGCUGGUCCUGCUGAAAGGUACUCUGAAAUUACACACUUUUGGCACCUUCCUGAGGAAGGGAGGGAGGGAGGGAGGAGGAGGCUUGCUCCAGACUCCUUUAUUAAAUCCCAGUUCUUCCACACAACAGCUUAGAUAACAUUUUGCUUAAGACUCAGUAUUUUGGUGUCAACUGAAAUGCAAUCAGAAGGCACACAAUUCAUUGUGAAAAAAAUUCUAGCAUUAAAGCUGAUGUGAGGCCUUCGGGGCAACUAUUCUUUGAUUUUGUACUCCAGCAGAAAAAUCCCAAACACCCAUUCUAAUUGUUCAAUUUUAAAACAAAAGCAUGAUGGAAGGGAAUUACAACAAAGAGAAAGCUGAGAUACAUAUUUGGCUGCUUUCCACAUGCAUCAGUAGAGCAAUACAUUGUAGUUUAAGUGCAGUUUAAGGUUAUUGUAAGAAACAUACAAAACUUUGGAGGAAUAAUUUAAAAUGGAAUUUUGACAAGUACUGAGCAUUCUUCAGCAACACAGCUAUGUAUUUGUCUCACAUCUAAGUUAAUUAAUAACUGUGUUGGGUCAACUAAGUAUCACAAGCCCAGCUUGUACUGUCUCCAGCCUUAGUUGUGUAUAUAAAGCAUAUUGUAGUCUUUGUAUGCCUUGUAAGCAUUGUGGUCACACGGUAAUUAAUGAAUGCAAGGAGGGGAAAUUGUUACCAUUAUGGCUGUAAUUAUUUUUGAAGGCACCUAGACAAAGUACUUUUCCAACGAAUUGACAUUAUCAUGCUUUAGUGGGCAAAUGUGCAUCUGAAAGCGAAUACUCCGUGAGCAUAAACAAAGCAUCUGUGCUCUUCUAUUAUUCUCAGCUUAAAGUUGCCAUUUUCCCCAGCAGUAGUGUACAAGAGUUCAAAGAGUCAGCAAACACCCUGCAGUUGUCAGGCACUGUAGCAGGGCUGGGUUCCUGGCUGCUGCAGUUAAUGAAUUCUGCUGCUGAAAAAUGAGCACCUGUAAACCAAGAUUCACUGUUUCGUAUCUGAUCACAGGAGCCUUUUUUUUUAACUUUCAUUAUACAAAAGAAACACAGUCAUUGCAGGUAGAUGGAGAACUCUGUGGAGGAAAGUACUCCUCCGUCAAGUUUGAGUACUAGGGAAAUGGCAACACAAAAAAAUAAGGUGUGCUAAUAAGAGAAUUUGUAUGUGUUACAUAGCGUGAACCCAUGUCAGUGCCCAGUAUUGUAAACCUUGGCUCGAUGCACUCCUUGAUGAAUCUCAGACUGGAACUAGCUUCAAACUCUAGUGAUUCUGCUGUUGUAGUUCUUGUAAUGCACGAGGAUUUGCAGUGAAAGAACCAUCUUCUGUCAUACUUGCUCUCUUGACCAAAGGGAAGAAAGAUCCCCAUGGGCUGCUGGUUAAAGAUCUCAGGGGGCAUGCAGUCCCAAAUUUGCAUUCAAGGGAAAUAUCUAGCUACUGUGCUAAUUGCCACUCUGAUAUGACUGCCCCUCUCUUCUCCUCUAAUUUUCCAAAGUUCUGAAAGUCUGUUGUGUGUUUUGGACAUAGAAUAGCAAAACAUAUGAAACAAUUCAUGGAACGGUGGCAAUCAUUUUCUUCUCCCUGUGUGUAAAUGCCAAAUGUUCCCCUACAAGCCAGUGCAAUGCCUCUGAGAUGUCUGUUUCUGUGCUCCUGGAGCCAAGGUUAUGGUUGCUCCUUUUUGAUACUUGAUCUUCUUCUUUAUUCAAAAUAUAUGUCCACUAUGUGGGAAGAGUCCCAUAGCACUCACUCUGUAAUCAGAGCCCCAUGGGGUUUUGGUCUGGACUUUCUAUACACUAUUUAUUACUUGAGAUGGUAGCUUCUAUUUUUGCCUGAGAAGCUAUUCACUUAAUGGGACUUAAUUGCUCCUUAUGUUUAACCAUCCCAUUUAAUAAGGCUUGGGAUAGUCACUGGAUCCAAAACCUUCUUAAUGUUGGCCACAAGGAUCUACCACAAUAAUGAUUGCAGUGCUGUCUGAGAGUCAUAGUCAUAAAGUGUUGGUAGGCAAUAUGUGUGGAACAAAGACUGUUCUUACCCCAAGGAUUUUUAAGGUCAGUGUAAUAGAUGAGAAAGCGGUUGCAGGUGGGAGUAGACUGGUAAGUGUGUGAGUGUCAGGGAUUGGUUAAGGUUUGGUUUCUGUGAAAUUAGAAAGUGCAAAAACUAUUUGCAGUGCAAUCUGCUGUAUCUGUGCAGUGAUAUUACAUUAUUUGUCACUAGUACGAUGAAAUGCAUUUGAAUGUCUAAAAGUGGAAAACCAGGAACAUUUUAUGGGACACUUUGCAAAUGUUGUCUCUCUCAAAUGGCCCUCUCAUGGAGAAGUCCUGCUCCUCCAGUGGAGAAGUCUUUGGUGUCUGUGUAGGCAAAGAAAAAGGAAUGUGGACAUAGAGUGAUUCUUGUGGAUGCAAGUUUUGCAAAUAGCUGGGAGCAGGGAACUCCUCUGGGUCCUACCUGGGAGGAUGGACAGCCACUAAGGGGUACAGAAAGAAGCCCCUGGCACAGGCACUUCACUGAUGGGACAGGGGCCAACUUUUACCUUGAGAUGAUGUCUGGAUUUGACCAGUGUGUGGCCUGAGCGUAUUUGAAAACCUGAAUCACCCAGAGCCGUAGGAUUUUACUUUCUUGUUUAGGCUGCAUGUUCAUAAGAGUCAGGAAUGAGUCACACUGACUGCCACGACCUCGCAAGAAGUGCCAGGGCAUGAGGCAUGAGCUGUGUCCUGCAGCAUCACACUGCACAGCUCUGAGGAAUUUGCACUGCCAAGAAUCUGUUAGACUUCCAAAUACGCUUUUGUGCCUUUCUAAAGUGCAGCAGAGCCCCGUGCCCACGAGAGGGAGCAGUUGGAUUACUUUACACAGCUCUGGGGUUUUCCCUGCAAAGACAAAUCUCUUGCACACAAAAGCAAAAUUCUGCUGUCGUCAGUCCAGCUAAGUAUUCUGUCAACAUUUUGGAUGAGAGCAACAAGAAGAAUGUUAAUGCUUUGGGGAAGGCUCCACAUUGCAUUGUGUUGAGUUUCAGCUUGAAUCUGGUCUUACAUAAUCAGUGCAUGGGUCCAGAGCAGUGCAAAUGGUUUCUAAAUAUGCAAACUGCAAAUAAAGAAUGCUUAUUAAAAAAAAAAAUAAAAAAAUUUAAAAAAAGGAGUGAAAAUAAAAUGCAAACCUCGAAGCAGAUGGAAUUGCCACAUCCAUCAUCCCUCACGAAGCAAAUGUGUCAAAGCUGUCUCUCUGCUAGCAGACAAGUCUCCUGUUGCUGUCCCAGCAUCUUUUCUUUUCCCAUUCAGCUGGGUUGGUUGUGCAGAAGAAGCAGGUCAAUGCAUUGCUGGGUCCUGUUUUGCUAAGACUCUGAUUUAAGUGCCUGCCCAGCAGCCUCACAGCACCAAAGCAGCCUCUGCUUCCCAGUGCAGGGAAUGCCAGGCAGAGUUGGAUCUGAGCAUGUGCUGCUGUUGUGGUUGGUCUCAGGGCCCAAGCUUGGCUUUGGUGGCUCUGUCCUACUCCAUACAGCUCAGCAGCAUGGUGUUCAGGCACAAAAUAGAUGUGUUGGAGAGAAGCAGUAAUGGGUGAAAGCAGGUCAGCUGUAGAAAACAUAAUGCCACAGCACGAGGGUGUCAGACAUGGAAACGGAGUGACCGGUCUCUGAGCACCAGACCGUCACAGAAGUUGUUGAAACCUUUCAAAUAUAACAAUAUUCUGACAAAGAGUGAAAAACAGGAUUUAUGAGGUUUUCACUUCCUGCUUUCACUACUGUCUUUUAUCAAGUUGUGUCUCAGACUGGGAGUUACAGUUUCUUUAAAAGACACAGGACAGGCAAAGAUCUCACCUGCGUGGUCUGUGGUUUCAGGGGGUUGUUGUGUUGCUCCUGUUUUUGGUAGAGUUGAGAUGGUGUGUUUCAACACUUUGAGCAACAGAGAGAUUUAUGGGGACAGGUGCUGCAGCCAAAGCAGCACGAUGCAGGUGGUUAUUCCCUGGAAGGUGACAUACCCUCUGGAGCCCCUGGAGGUUGGUGAGAACCGUGUGCCUCUGGAGCCUCAGGGCUCGAAUAUGAGGCAACAGACAAGCAUGACCUUUCUUUUGAGAGUCAGACUUGAGCACAGGCAUGCAGAGUGGCAUACACAGAAACUAGUAGCUAAUAUUUCCGAUAACAUACUUAUGCAGGUCAAUGAGAUGGAGAGAUACAUGCCUUGAAAAUCUUGCAUAACCAUUGGCCAAGUGUGCCUGAGAUGUGACUCUUCAGCUUAGUGAAUCAGUGUGACCACUGUCCUGUCCUGUCCUGUCCUGUCCUGCCUACUACAAGAAACUAGAAAUUAUUUGGAACUUCCUAAUCUCAUUUUUAGCGAAUCUUACAGUGUUGUAUAUGAUUCUACUAAAAAUAGGUAACAAGUUGCAGUAAUACUAAAAAAAUAUAUAAUGCCAUUUAUGUGAAAUAAUUUCAGUCCAAAUAUGAAUAAGUUGCCUAUAAAGGAAUUUAAUUCAGUAGCAUUCCUUUCUCUUCAGGGAAUCUCUCUUUAAGGCAUUUCUCAUAAAUUUACUUAUUCUCUCCUAAAACUUGUAAAUUCACUUCAAAACUUGUUCUAAGACUUUUGUGUGCAAACAAUUAGUUUAGUCACAGCACCAGAACAAUAGCAAUUGCUAAGUUUAUUUCAAAUGGUCUUGCAACCACUAUUGAAGACAUUGUGCCUUGGUUAGAAAAUUAUUUAAAAAAAAACCCCAGAAGCAUGCAAUUUCCUUUUUCCCCCUCCCCUUUUCUGUGUGUAUUUAUGUUUAACUCAGGGCAAGAAUUUUAUAAUAUUCUUAAAGGAAAAGAUAGAAAUAAAAAUGGCAUGAAUUCAUGAAAGCAUGGGUUUAUAUAUAGGCAUUCUCUGUAAAUGAACCAUUCUGUAUCCUAGGUAGAACAACCUUAUUUGUCUGCUCAUAUGCAUUUCAGUUGCCUCCACGCGCUCCCACUUGUCCUCCUUUUUUUUUUUUUUCGUAUAUGAACUGAAUGUACUGUACCACGUUCCUGUUUGAACUGCGUGUGCCUGACGCAUAACCCGUGGCACAGAAGGGCCAGUUUGUCCCCACCGUCUGCAUUCGGUCACAAACCAUCCCAGCUGUGUCCUCAUGGUUGUCACCACCUCACCAGACUCUCUCGGUGUUCGUGUAGCCUUAUACAGUAUAUUGCACUUACUGUACCUGUAUAGUAUCUGGUCUGUAUACUGUAUGCACAUAAAUAUGUAUAUUCACUCAUGUAUGUAUGUAUAGUUCGUUUCUAUAUCUCUGUAUAUGUACGUGUGUUUGUUCAUGGUCUUUCACUAGAAAUGUGUGGCUACUCAUAUACAUUACGUGUAUGACAAUUAUAAAAAGGUGUGAAUGCCAGCGCCCACUUUUGAUAACCCACUUUUAUUCUCAUUUUGUCUUGUUAAACAAUGAAAAUAAAAACAUCACGUAUUUUAAGUGACAACUUUAAAAGGAUUGUUGUUUUCACUAACUUUAAGGUUUCUAGUUUUUCAGAAAAAUUGUUUGAACAGAUUUCAAAAUUGCGAAUGUGUUGGUGUUUCUCCUGACAGUUUUCUGUAGUUGCAAAAUAUUUGGUAACAGCCCACUCUGUGUAGUUUUGGUUCUCUGCAUCUUAUGCUCUUCAAGUGCUCCAAGGUUUAGAAAUGCCCUAAACCAGAUGGACUUCUGUGCUGCAAAUCCCAUCUCUGUUCACAUGAGGGACUUGCCAUCAAUCUAGGGGGUGAGUCGUGUCUGUGACAUCUUGCAUGAUUAAAUACUGGAUAUAGAAGGGCCUUAGGCUGGAAAGAAUGUUUUCUUCAGUGCAGGUGAGCCUUAGGAAUGGAUAAAACCACCCAAAUUUAUUAGUCCAUUUUAUGGGAGCAUUACAGACGCUUUUUGUCAGGCCUCUUAUGCUUUGCAGUCCACAGUAACAUAUAAUUGCCAAUUGAUUAGGCAUUUAUUAAAACAGCUAACAAUCACUUAUUAGCCCUUUGUAAAAUUAAUCACCACACAGCUGUAUGGAGGCUCAGUUAUCUGGUGGGGAGGCAGCAAAGCUCUGGUUUAUCUUACAUAGCAAAAUAUCUCUGUAAGUCAAAGGGGUGACUGGUACAUAUUUUCCAGUUGAGCAUGUGUUUAAGUUAUUCAGUGAACUGGAGCUUAAAUGAUCAUCAUCUGUGUUUCUCUGUGAGACCUAGGACUGAUAAAUUUGCUCCCUUUACAGUUAAUAUUAUCAUUGUACUAGAUGAUUUAGUCUCGGUGUGGAUUAAGUUACUGCAGCAGAGUGGCAGCAGCUACUCAGAAAAAUCUCAGAAGACAGAUCUUUAUGCAGGAAAUACUGAGAAACUUGUAGGAUGGCAGAGACACUGUUAGGAAGAGCCUUCACCCCAACUGAAAUUGCACACUAGAAAAUUCUUUACAUUUAAAGUUGCAGGGUUAAAUUCUGACUUCACUCAGGUCAACAGCAAAUUCCCAUUUCACUCAUAAGCUGUAACUAGAAUGUCCAAGGAAUGCUUUUCCUCCACAAAACAUAGGAUGGAGAAAGGACAUAUUCCACUGACUGAGCUCAGAGUUUAUGGGCCAGUGGUCUGAUCACGAGUCUUUGCAAAUCGGUGGCAAUUCGUGGACUCUUUGAUUCUCUUGGCCCAUCUUUUUUUUUUUACAGUCUGAAAAAGCACGUUUGCUGUCUAGGGUUUCUAAUCACAGUUGUAUAAUUCACAACAGAAAAGAAUAAAAAAUGAGAAAAGACAGCAGUAAUAUGCAUUUUUAAAACUAACAUUGGUGAGAUCAUGGCUCUUGCUUGAACUCUGCACCAAAAUUUAAAACACAAUUAUAAUCAGAGAAAAGCAGUGGUUUUUUUGCUGGUUGACAGUUUGUCAAUCUCUUUCUUUUGAAUCCCAUUUUCUAAAGCAUGCAGAUACCAGUCUGAGUCUCUUGCCUGUAUCUCAACUAUUUUAUGUGUCAGGAAGUCAUGUCAAUAUUAGAUUUGGGUACUGUAUUAUUUAACCGUUCCUGAUAUAAAUGAAGUUGCAUGAUCUUGCUGUGAGGUAACAUCAGAUGUGGUACUUCAUACUGAGGCAACGUCUUAUAUCUUUGAUUUCUUUAGAAACUCUCUACAGUUUUCAACUCUAGCAACUGUUGAUUAACUGAAUGCGAAACUCGAGUAAGAAAUUAAUCAUUAGUGGAGAUCUCUGUGUUUUAAUAAUGUUUUUAUGCAUUUUUAGAAGGAAGAUGCAACCCCCUACAAAAAUAAGAUCAACUCUGUACAUUCAGUGUUGGUUUUAGUCAUGUUUUCCUGAACUUUUUUCCCCUCUGUACAAUCAGGACAAUUUUUGAGAAAUGGCAUUUAGUCUAAGAAAAUGAUUGACUCAAUUUCACCAUCCAAAAAGGAGAAAUGGAAGAGCAUAUUUCAGAAUUUCUCAUCUGUAAAGCAACUUUAAGUAAUGAAACUUCAAAGUAAAGUAACUUGGAGUGCUGAGGCAUUUUCCCUCUGUAUAUUAUUCGCUAAUUUUAUAUUUCUUUUAUUUUAAAAUUGUUUUCUUGACCGUUUUCUUGAAAAUGCUAGAUAAAUAUUCAGACUUAGGUGCUUUGCUGGUAAACUGGUGUGGUGAAGUUCUUCAUCUGUCCCAGCAGUAAAAGUUAGUUAAAUCUUGGAUUCCAGUACUGACUUAGUAGGAACAGUGCUGAAGCUCAUGUAUGUGUUUUAGCUUGGAAAAAAUGAGGUCCAAUAUAACAGGGAAACUAAUGGAAUUUGUGAUGUCACCACAUGUCCCGUUUUUGUAACUUUAGGAUUGGCCUCAAUGUCCACUUUCUCGCAUUUCUUAGUUCUUACAAAGUCAGGGUCUUGUUUCCAUGCAUUUUCCCUCUUCCAUAUUCAGUUUUUGGGCCCUUCCUGGUAGAAGCAGUAUCUAAAGAAUGCACCCUGCUGCCUUCAGCUCCCUUGCACGUGAGAGUUUUUGCAGCCUGCAGAGGUUGGAUCCAGAGGAGAAAGGAUCUCUCACCUCUCCACACCACCCCUCAGUGCGAAGGGGAAUGGGCUGUUUAUCUCUGCAUGAGAUGGUUUGGAAUCUGGCAGUUUUCCAAAAUUGUCAGAUUGAAAGUAAGAAACCCUAAUUAACAGAUGAGUUGUGCUGUGGACGUGGUCACUCAGCCAUAGGCAGGGCCAGCUGCAGUGGUCACUGAGGUCACUGCUCAAACCAUCCUGCUGUUUGAAGUCUGGUUCAGGAGCAUUUAAGCACCCAUACCUUAACCAGCAGCCUCCAGCACGAGGAAAUGCUGGAGAGACAGGGUUAGUAACCUUCCAAGGAAAUCUGGGACGAGAGUGUUACCCUGAAGGUGCUGCACUGCAAAAUGCAGUACACAGGAGAUCCCUGUAUCACUGAACUCUAGCAAAGUAUCUGUUCUUUGUCCCUCCUGUGACUGAACUGAUACAAUACUGAAUUUCCCUUUAUGUUUUGCUGGGUUACUUGAGUUCUGCAUUUAUUGUUUAGCACAGACAUAGAUGAAGCUUUGAUUUUUCAUGAGUGAUCUCAAUAGGAAUGCACUUUGUGAUGAUCCACUGCCUAAUUGGGAUGUAUGAGAUGAUUUUACACAAUAUCCUCAAUAUCAAUUACUUUACAGGUUCUUAUUUUGAAUGUACUAGCAUUUCCAGAGUGUGUUAACAGUGAUAAAGCAGUACAUUUCAGGAAGUUGUUUGGUGUUUUAAAAAAAAAAGCUUAGAUGAAAAGAAUACAUGUUUCCAAAUAAGAUAGUAACGCAAGGUCAGGAAGAUCUAUAUCUAGACUGAUUGCCAGCACAAAAAUGGAAAGCAGAACAGUGAAUUUAUCAUUUCAAAUUUGCUUUAUUGGUAGCCUCAGCAAAAUAAUCCGAGGGUUACUGGAAAACUCAAGGCACAGGAGUGUGUGCAAGGCUGGUUGUGUAUAAAGUAGCUGUGACAUUUAGUAAUUGGAAGCAAUGAAUCAUGAAACUGGAGGUCUGGAAUCAGAGGUGUUGAAGGUUUGCUAGUCAUUUGCUAAUUAAAUUUUAGGAUAAGUGUUAAUUGCUCAUAAUCUUGAAUCUUUGGGAAUUCCUGGAGUUCCAGAGAUUCUUGUCAAUCAUUUUUAAGUGGUGGGCCAUGGAGUGCAAGACAAUAUAGUCAGGUCUUUUAGUUCUGUGUUUGAAAAAAGGUGUUCAGAGUUUUUUUAUGAUACUGUAUCAUGUAAUUACAUUAAGUGAUAGUGUAGUUCUUAUAGGGACUCUAGUUUUAUAGUUUUUACAGGGACUCUUUUCAUUUUUUUCUGUAGUAGUAUCAUUUGAAAUAAAAAAUAUUUCCUGAAGUUUAGAAACUCGGAGUAAUGUAAACCAAAACAUUAAACGCAGGAAUUCAGAAGUUACAAUAGCCCUUAAAUGUGCUGUUACAUGAGUUGAAAAGAAAUGUGUCAGUGAAUUCUUUUACUGCUAAACAUACAGGGUAGGAUUACAAAGUGCUCUUCCCAUCCAUUUUGUAAAAAAUUAAGAUUAGUGUGCUGGGGAAAUGCUUUCCCAUGAGGGAAAAUAGAGAUCUUACCUGUGUCCCUUAAAAAGAAAAAUUUGUGAAAGGUUGGAAAGGGCGGUUUGUGCAGUGCUUAACACCUUGUGUGUGCUCUUGUGCUUGUGAUGCAAGUAGGUAAAUGCACAGGAUCAUUUGAUCUGGUUGCUGGCUUCUUAGGAAGCCUUCUAGAAAACACCAGAGGCACUUGUAGGGAAGAAUUUGCAGUUACACUGUCCACUGUCCCCAGGGAGCCUUACCAUGCACUCCCUGUUGCAUGGAGAGUGUCUGCUUUCACAGCUCACCUUGCACACCCCAUGUGUUCCUGAACAUAGUGUUACUUUUAAUAAGCUCUGUAUUAAUAAUCAAUUGUUGUUUUGAAUUUGACAGUAACAGGAGAAUGGGUUGGCAGUGCCGAGCUGUAUGAACAACUCACUAUCCUGGGCCAAAUUAUGCUGUCUUUCGUGUCAGUAUUACUCCAGAAUAACUCUGUCAGAGAGAGAGAGAGAAAUGACUGCAGCUUUAGCUUGUAGUUCUACCCUGAUUUACUGACUUUUGCAGCCAUUGGAAGUAACAACCUUCAACAGCAGUGCAAUCGUUAUAGCUCACGGUUAGCAAAAGAAAUCUUGUCCAGCGUAAUUUUCCAAGCGCCCUCUCCUGAAGUCUUUUUAAAUCAUUUUUAAUUGAGGUUAUUUUUACUGUUCAUUUGAACAAACUGUAGUCAAAUUCUUGGACCCAGGAAAGUCAGCCGGUACAUUCCUGUUGGCUUCAACUGGGUGAGGAUCUUGCUGCUCAGAUUUUUCUGAAACCUGAUUCUGGCUGAACUCCUUCCUGCCUUGGACAACUCCCCUUUUGUGAACGUGUGCUAAGAGGACCUCCACGUCAAGCUCAGAGUAUCAGAUAGCAGAUCAUGAACUGUUGCUCCUUAACAUAGCCCUCCACCGCUUGCACCCGUGGCACACGACUGCCUUCUAGGAGUGGGAUUUCACACCCUCCCAGUGGAAAUACCUUACCCAGCCAGGGGGCUGGGAACCAUCUGCACCACAGAAAGUGCCGUCAAGAGUUUCAGUGGGAAGGAGAGUUUGGAAACUCCUGUCUCAGAGCAGGCGUGAGGGAGGGAGUACCUUUUCCUCCCAGAGGAUGGUCACGUGUAUGCAGUGGUUGCAAGGGGACCACACGAUGCUGGAUAUGAUCGAAAAAAAGCGUUGCCUCUGCAAAGAAAUAAAAGCUCGACAGAAAUCAGAGAAAGGACUCUGCAAACAGGACAGCAUGCCUAUUUUGCCAAGUUG